GGAGUUAGCCGGUGCUUCUUCUGCGAGUAACGUCACAGAUGUAAGGUAUUAACUUACACCCUUUCCUCCUCGCUGAAAGUGCUUUACAACUCGAAGGCCUUCUUCACACACGCGGCAUGGCUGCAUCAGGGUUUCCCCCAUUGUGCAAUAUUCCCCACUGCUGCCUCCCGUAGGAGUCUGGGCCGUGUCUCAGUCCCAGUGUGGCUGAUCAUCCUCUCAGACCAGCUAGGGAUCGUCGCCUAGGUGAGCCUUUACCUCACCUACUAGCUAAUCCCACCUGGGCUUAUCCAUCAGCGCAAGGCCCGAAGGUCCCCUGCUUUCCCCCGUAGGGCGUAUGCGGUAUUAGCAGUCGUUUCCAACUGUUAUCCCCCACAAAUGGGCAAAUUCCCAGGCAUUACUCACCCGUCCGCCGCUCGUCAUCUUCAAAGCAAGCUUUUGAAAUGUUACCGCUCGACUUGCAUGUGUUAGGCCUGCCGCCAGCGUUCAAUCUGAACCAGAUCAAAUUCUGA
This 509-nucleotide ribosomal RNA is filed under the name uncultured bacterium. RNAcentral's name for it is "partial 16S ribosomal RNA". The record is from RNAcentral.